UGUUUCAGUUCAGUGCGAGUGGUUGGAAAGUCUGUUGCCAAACCAACACUCCUCCUCAACAGUUUCCAAGUCCUGAAGCUAUUAAUCCAACCAUCGAAGAAUACUUCCAGAGUUUUGUGGCCCCCACCGGUUUGGUUCAACCACAGUUUCUCCAAAAUCGGCCUACAAAUUUCGUAGCCAAACAGCUUCCUGGCUUGCCUCGCUGAGAGCCACGUAUUCGGACUCCAUGGAUGACAGCGCAACACUAUUCUGGAGUCUACUCGCCCAAGAAAUCGCACCACCCGAAUAUAGAAACACGUAUCCAGCAGUCGAUCGUCGGGUCUUCAAAUCGCCAGCCCAAUCAGCAUCAGAGUACCCGAGAAGCUUUCCAGAAGAAUCACCAUAUUUGAGCCGCCAAGAUUUGGUUCCUUUUAAGUAGCUCAAAAUCAGCUUCGCUGGGACCCAAUCCGCCUUCGUCGGCGAACACACUCUGCGCCCCAGGAUCGAAACGCUCACCGCAAUGUCGGGUCUCGCACACACCGCUACGUACAAAAGUGCCCCUACGAGGCUCCUAUAGGGCGUCGAACCAUCCAGGGUUGGGCUUUCGGAUUCCAUUUUAACGAAACCUUCUUCCAUCGGCGUUUUGGCAGCCUUUGCAUCGGAAAGGCCAAACCGUUGUACUAUUCGAUCGAUGUAGCUCUCCAAGGAAAUGCUGUAUACGUUUUGAAAUCUCGUAAUUUCCAAUCCCAAGAAGUAGCUCGCAUCACCAAGAUCCGUCAGUUCGAACUCUUUCCUAAGUGACUGAUAGAUUUUCUCUAUCUCGGUACCAUCCUCGCUUCCCACCAAAAUAUCGUCGACGUAGAUGAGAAGGUACACUCUUUUCCCAUUGGCCACUUUGGUGUACAAACAAGGAUCCGCUGUUCCCUGCUUUAAAUCCAUUUUCACCAGGACAUUGUGCAGCCGUUGGUUCCAGCAACGCGCAGUCUGUUUGAGCCCGUAUAUGCUCCUCCUCAAUCUGCAUACCAGCUGUUCACUGCCUUUCUUCACGUAACCAGGAGGCUGCCGCAUGUAGAGGUCCUCGUCCAAGACUCCGUAGAAGUAUGCAGUUUUGACGUCGAAAUGUUUCAACUGCAACUUGUACUUACUUCCUAUAGCCAGCAGCGUCCGCAAAGUGGUUUGUCGAAUAACAGGAGCAAACACCUCGUCGUAGUCCUGUCCGAACUUCUGGGUUAAACCUUGCGCCACCAGGCGAGCCUUAUAUUUGACUGGCUCCCCAGCAGCAUUACGCUUGACUUUGUAAACCCAGCGGCAUCCGACCGGCUUCCGUCCUACAGGCAGUUCCACCAAAUCCAAUGUUCCGUUGGUGGCGUGCGACUUGAGCUCGUCGUGCAUCGCUUGCUUCCAGUCACCACUGUUUUCACACUUCAAGGCUUCUGCAAGACUGGUGGGUUCCAUCUCCUCCUCGAAAGGAACUCCGGCCGCAAAGAUUUGUUCAAUCAACCGCUGUGGCAGGACUCCUUUCGUCGACCUCUGCGAUCGUCGAGCGAUGUCAUCCAACGGAAAACCCCUAAACGAUGUUUCCCCGUCAGUCGCAUCCCCAUAGAAGGAUUCUUCAAGAUCGUCGGAAUCAGCUUCACCACUAUCACUAUAGUCUUCACUUUCCAAAGGUGCGGCACACUUAAUGGUUCAUCAAAUUUGGCAUCCCGACUCACACAAAUUUUGUCGGUUUCUGGCACCAAGAAACGGUACGCUUUCCGUCCCACAGAAUACCCCACAAACACCAUUUUCAUCGCCUUUUGAUCCAACUUCCGGCGCUUUUCUUUUGGAAUGUGAACAAAAGCGUCCGAACCAAAAACCCUCAAGUGUCUAUACGACGGCUUCUUGCCGUACCACAACUCAUACGGCGUCUUCGGCCGUGUUGAUGUCGGCGACCUGUUCUGCAGAUAACACGCCGUGCUGAGUGCCUCACCCCAGUACUUCUUCUCGAGACCCGACUCAGCCAGCAUGCACCUGACCAUCUCGAUCAAGUAUCGAUUCUUCCGUUCCGCCUUCCCAUUCUGCUGUGGGGAAUACGGAGCCGUCUGCUGUAACUCAAUUCCACUUUGAGCCAGGAACAUCUUCAGUGCCUUGCUGGAAAAUUCACCACCACCGUCCGUGCGAAGAACCUUGGGAGACCGACCGAAUUGGUUUUUCAUCAUGGCACAGUACUCCCGCACUUUUGCUUCAACUUCCGACUUAGCUUUCAGCAAAUACACAACGGUGUACCCACUGAAGUCGUCCACCAUAGCCACAUAAAAACGAUUACCGCUCGGAGUGCACACUUCCAUGCCCCCCCCCCCUCCCCUCCAUUCGGAAUGGACUAAGUCACCCAUGUCGUGACCUAAGCCGACUUCAUCCUCCGGAACAGCGCUCGUGCUCCUUUUCGUCCUUCGAAGAGCAUCCAUUGUUCCAAUUUAAAGUUGAACUACACUUCUCAACUAUCACCAACAGAAUGACCAGUUUGCGUACCUGUCCCGGAACAGCGUUUUUCUAUUUCCCGAUGUUUUCUCUUUUACUCCUGCGGCGCGGUGUGUGUGCG
Uranotaenia lowii is the source of this 2557-nucleotide long non-coding RNA. RefSeq lists it as uncharacterized. The transcript is spliced from 3 exons. Lineage: Eukaryota; Metazoa; Arthropoda; Insecta; Diptera; Culicidae. The record is from RefSeq and is a predicted model, not a curated record.